Pseudopipra pipra is the source of this 370-nucleotide long non-coding RNA. RefSeq lists it as uncharacterized. Lineage: Eukaryota; Metazoa; Chordata; Aves; Passeriformes; Pipridae. The record is from RefSeq and is a predicted model, not a curated record. The transcript has 2 exons.
AGGUGCCUUCCAACUCAAACCACUGAGUCUACGAAGGGCUCAGCCCUCAGGCACAAGUAUAUUUGUUAAAGAUUUUCUUAUGAAAAUCUUCCAGCCCUCAACAGGAGCAGCAUUUUUCCCAAGCCCAUUGUGCAAAUGGCAAAAUAAGACAACAUGCAGCAAACUGCUUACCUGGACUAAACUCCAGGACUGACAAAGAGUUGUGAUGCAACAUCAAGAGUUAACAACAGGCUUUUCAAGGGAGCCUUUGAUCAUUUAAAGCCUCGACUGUCAUUACACUUCUCCUGGGACACUGAUUUUUCCACUACUUCUUGCUGGGUGAACUCUGACCGCUAAGAGACUUAAGGGACUAAAACAUGUCCUUUUGUGA